Molecule: ribosomal RNA, 1343 nt
Filed under: uncultured bacterium
Lineage: Bacteria
Description: 16S ribosomal RNA
Rfam family: Bacterial small subunit ribosomal RNA
Source: RNAcentral
GACGAACGCUGGCGGCGUGCUUAACACAUGCAAGUCGAACGGAAAGGCCCUGCUUUUGUGGGGUGCUCGAGUGGCGAACGGGUGAGUAACACGUGAGUAACCUGCCCUUGACUUUGGGAUAACUUCAGGAAACUGGGGCUAAUACCGGAUAGGGGCUCCUGCUGCAUGGUGGGGGUUGGAAAGUUUCGGCGGUUGGGGAUGGACUCGCGGCUUAUCAGCUUGUUGGUGGGGUAGUGGCUUACCAAGGCUUUGACGGGUAGCCGGCCUGAGAGGGUGACCGGCCACAUUGGGACUGAGAUACGGCCCAGACUCCUACGGGAGGCAGCAGUGGGGAAUAUUGCACAAUGGGCGGAAGCCUGAUGCAGCAACGCCGCGUGCGGGAUGACGGCCUUCGGGUUGUAAACCGCUUUCGCCUGUGACGAAGCGUGAGUGACAGUAAUGGGUAAAGAAGCACCGGCUAACUACGUGCUAGCAGCCGCGGUGAUACGUAGGGUGCGAGCGUUGUCCGGAUUUAUUGGGCGUAAAGGGCUCGUAGGUGGUUGAUCGCGUCGGAAGUGUAAUCUUGGGGCUUAACCCUGAGCGUGCUUUCGAUACGGGUUGACUUGAGGAAGGUAGGGGAGAAUGGAAUUCCUGGUGGAGCGGUGGAAUGCGCAGAUAUCAGGAGGAACACCAGUGGCGAAGGCGGUUCUCUGGGCCUUUCCUGACGCUGAGGAGCGAAAGCGUGGGGAGCGAACAGGCUUAGAUACCCUGGUAGUCCACGCUGUAAACGGUGGGUACUAGGUGUGGGGUCCAUUCCACGGGUUCCGUGCCGUAGCUAACGCUUUAAGUACCCCGCCUGGGGAGUACGGCCGCAAGGCUAAAACUCAAAGGAAUUGACGGGGCCCCGCACAAGCGGCGGAGCAUGCGGAUUAAUUCGAUGCAACGCGUAGAACCUUACCUGGGUUUGACAUGGAUCGGGAGUGCUCAGAGAUGGGUGUGCCUCUUUUGGGGUCGGUUCACAGGUGGUGCAUGGCUGUCGUCAGCUCGUGUCGUGAGAUGUUGGGUUAAGUCCCGCAACGAGCGCAACCCUUGUUCACUGUUGCCAGCACGUUAUGGUGGGGACUCAGUGGAGACCGCCGGGGUCAACUCGGAGGAAGGUGGGGAUGACGUCAAGUCAUCAUGCCCCUUAUGCCCAGGGCUUCACGCAUGCUACAAUGGCUGGUACAGAGAGUGGCGAGCCUGUGAGGGUGAGCGAAUCUCGGAAAGCCGGUCUCAGUUCGGAUUGGGGUCUGCAACUCGACCUCAUGAAGUCAGAGUCGCUAGUAAUCGCAGGUCAGCAACGCUGCGGUGAAUACGUUCCCGGG